This 411-nucleotide ribosomal RNA is filed under the name Streptococcus sp. oral taxon 071. Its description in RNAcentral is "bacterial SSU rRNA". It matches the Rfam family "Bacterial small subunit ribosomal RNA", at positions 73 to 471 of the family's 1533-position model. The record is from RNAcentral. Lineage: Bacteria; Bacillati; Bacillota; Bacilli; Lactobacillales; Streptococcaceae.
GAGGAGCUUGCUCUUCUUGGAUGAGUUGCGAACGGGUGAGUAACGCGUAGGUAACCUGCCUGGUAGCGGGGGAUAACUAUUGGAAACGAUAGCUAAUACCGCAUAAAAUGGAUUAUCGCAUGAUAAUUCAUUGAAGGGUGCAAAUGCAUCACUACCAGAUGGACCUGCGUUGUAUUAGCUAGUUGGUGGGGUAACGGCUCACCAAGGCGACGAUACAUAGCCGACCUGAGAGGGUGAUCGGCCACACUGGGACUGAGACACGGCCCAGACUCCUACGGGAGGCAGCAGUAGGGAAUCUUCGGCAAUGGACGGAAGUCUGACCGAGCAACGCCGCGUGAGUGAAGAAGGUUUUCGGAUCGUAAAGCUCUGUUGUAAGAGAAGAACGAGUGUGAGAGUGGAAAGUUCACACUG